UCACUGGGAAGUUCAUCAGGAAGGUUACACUUAUGCUCAGUACUUUAGGGAAGGUCUGAGAUAAGAGCCAAUGACUAUCCUUACAGGGUAUCACCUGAUGCAGGUGGAUGAGUUAUUAGUAAGGCUGGGCCCUGGCUUAGGCAUAUGCAGGAGAAGCUAAGGAAACAAGGGUCUUUCUUCCUUGGAAGAUGCUCACCUCCCAAGGGUUUGGGACAGACUCAUAGCUGGCAUUGCUGAAUUCAAUGGGAUGAAGUGAGGCUAAUGCCACAUAUGGUCCUCAUAACAUAAUUCAGACUAUUCUCCCUCUGA
RNAcentral lists this RNase P RNA (309 nucleotides) under Chelonia mydas (Green sea turtle). RNAcentral describes it as "Nuclear RNase P". It matches the Rfam family "Nuclear RNase P". From Rfam's summary of the family: Ribonuclease P (RNase P) is a ubiquitous endoribonuclease, found in archaea, bacteria and eukarya as well as chloroplasts and mitochondria. Its best characterised activity is the generation of mature 5'-ends of tRNAs by cleaving the 5'-leader elements of precursor-tRNAs. The record is from Rfam by way of RNAcentral. Lineage: Eukaryota; Metazoa; Chordata; Testudines; Cheloniidae.